GCGCUCAUAGCUCAGUUGGAUAGAGCGACAGCCUCCUAAGCUGUAGGCCGCAAGUUCGAUUCUUGCUGGGCGCACCA
RNAcentral lists this transfer RNA (77 nucleotides) under Desulfovibrio legallii. Its description in RNAcentral is "tRNA-Arg". It matches the Rfam family "tRNA". Rfam says of the family: Transfer RNA (tRNA) molecules are approximately 80 nucleotides in length. Their secondary structure includes four short double-helical elements and three loops (D, anti-codon, and T loops). RNAcentral also lists the same sequence under 2 other names. The record is from RNAcentral. Lineage: Bacteria; Pseudomonadati; Thermodesulfobacteriota; Desulfovibrionia; Desulfovibrionales; Desulfovibrionaceae.